UGGUGAAUCCGCCAACCGGGAAUGCGCGUCGGGCCUCGAUGCGGCAGUCUGACUGGAAGCGGACGCAGCUUACGGCGUCGCAGAAAUUGCUGGUCCUGAAGCACACUGCGGGCGUUGACCCGAUUUUCCCCUGGCUCCUUCCUCCGACUAGGAAAGAGGGCUACCUUAUAAUAAUAGGAAGAGCCCCGCGCCACCAAUGCGGAGCCGCCUUACACUGAGGCCGCCAACGAGAUUUUUGGCGUCGCAGUGGCCUGCAGGGUCAGCGUUAGCGUCCCUCCCUCCAUUCUUCUACCUGUACCUUCUCCGAUGCUAGCAAAAGGCAGUCAUUACUCUAUAGGAAAGUUAACAGGGGACUAAAGAGAACAGCCACAAAGUGCAAUGUGUGAUCUUGAAUUGGAUCCUGGAAGAGGAGGUCAAAAUUGCUAUAAAGGAUAUUCUGGGGGCAGUUGAUGAAAUUCAAAUAUAAGCAAUAUGUUAGGAUGGAGAGUGCGGCUGAAAAUUCCAAGCUUCUAAUCGUGGCUUGGUCUUUCUCGUGAACAGCCUGCCUCUAGGAGCCAUGCAGGAGCCCACCCAGAGUCACCUCAAUAGAACAAAAGAUAUGCCUAGUGCUCUCUCUUAUCACUUAGGAAUUUACAAAGGUUUCAGUAGCUCUGUAUCAGGAACUGGGGGCAGAGACCAAUAUAAGUUUUCUGUUAUUUCACAGCUAUAUCAGAGAAUGUCCUUGUUUAAAGGACAUAGAUACUGAACUAUUUAGACAUAAGGGAGCAUGAUGUUUGUUGAUUCAUUAAAAUUUUAUGUAUAGAUAAAAAAUAGAAAGUGAGAUAAGCAAAUGUAGCAAAUCAUUAACAAUUGCUGAAGCUGUACUAUUCUUGAAGCUCUUUAAAGUUUAAAAUUAUUUUAAAAUACAGGUGGUUGUACAGGUGGUUGGCAGGGGACAUGAAUUUUUAUGACUGUUUGUCCUAUGGCAACAUAAAAAUUGAGGAGAAAUGGAAACCCCAUUUGAAAGUAAGGGCAUUCUGGCAACAGAAAUCCAAGGAUCUGGUGGAUGGUUGAGAAUUAGGAAAAAAUGCCCCUUCCAUUCAAAUCCAUUCUCCCUCGAAGCAUUAGUGCUCUAAGUCAAUCUUUCAACAAAGACCACAGAUGCUGGUGGUUUCUCAUUCUCCCCUAAAGCAUGGGGGACAUAUAAACUGCCUGAUAAAAACUUUAAGAACAAGCAAACAAUCAACAGCAUUUCCAAAGCUCCUUUACACCAAGAUCACGAGUUUCUAAAUCACCAAGAACACUUCCAUAGAAGACCUUUGACUGGGAGAAUGAAAUUGUGUUUAAAAGGGACACAAAUAGGUUAUAAAUCAGAAUAUUGCAAAAGCAGAGAUUAGUUGUGAGAAAACAAAAUCACUUAUAUACUAGGAGAAAUACUCAUUGAAGCAUCAAUAUAUGUUCCAUCCCCCAUGGACUUAUUUUAUCCAACUAGCCAUCACCAAUUUUGAAAGAGGAUGAAAAACUAACUUUCAAAUUUCUCUUCUUCAGCAGGCAUGUAUAUGACUAAUACAAGAAAUAAGGAUUAAAUGAUUUGAUAUAGGCAAUGUGUUCAGAACAAUGCCAGGUGCAUAGUACAUUCUCAACUAAAAUUAUUUUUUAAAAGAGAUAAAAAUAUUAGCUAAGCAGUGUUGAGAUUGAGUCCCAUUUAAACCAUAGUUGCCUGGGAACAAGUAAGAACCCAUUGCAAACUGUCCUAAGGAUCUAGAACUUCAUCCAAUGCAGGAGGAAUUUUGCCCUAGAGAGUCAUGGAUUUGGGAGUCGAGAAAUGCUGGGAUCAAACUAAAAGACAUUUUUAAUGCUUUGGUUCUCAGGUCUGACCCUUCCCAUUUUCUUGGGGGAUCCAAGAACCUCAGCAGCUGGCUAUUUUGAUGUUUGCCCAGGAUAGGACAAUGGUGAAAAAGGUCAACCCUAGCAGGACAAUGUCUGGGUUUGGUCCCAACGCUUCCCGGAAGCAUGACCUUGAGAAUUUCUGUGCCUUGAUUUCCUUCACUGCAUAAUGGAGCUAAUGAUAGUAUUCAAAUGGGGCUUAGGUUAUUGGGAGAAUUAAAUGAGCAAACGUGGAAAAUUCCUAGAACAGUGUGCAUCUAACGCAUUACAGGUAAUCAACAGAUGUUAGCAAGCAUUGUUAUAGUUUACUUCUGCAGCAACGACUAACUCUUCCAGUUUGCCCAGGGUUGCUUUGACUCUUCAGUUUCAAAACUGAAAGUCCCACAUCCUGGGAGAGGCUUCAGUCCCAGGCAAACAGGGACAGCUGGUCACCCUAUGUACACCAGACUAGCUUUGCCAAUCCACUUUGGAAGGGCUACUACAAAAAUUGUGUUAGCAGAUGUUGGCAGAGUCCGUUGGUUCAAGAUGAUUCUGAAGAGUGUGUUUUAAGGCUGCCUUUCCAAUAUUCCUCCUCUUUGUGGCUUUUCCUGAUUCACUCAGGGCCCUCACCCCACAUCCAUGCUUAAAACUAAGCUCCCCGAACUUUUUUCCCAUGUCAUUUCUCAUGCAUAACUAGUUGGACUCUUUCCUCAUUCACCUCCUCUUGAGACUAUCAAGGUCCAAAGGGCAGAAGUUUUGUCCUGUUUCUACACAUGCAAUCAACACUGGUGGGUUGAAUGUAAUUUUGCUUUCCCGGAUUUGAAUGGGAGGGUCUGGAUUAAUUUGCCUCUGCAUAGUAUUUCCAUAAAGGUGAGGCUUUUUCCAGGUAGAUAGUGCUAUGUGACCUUGGCCAAGUUACUUAACCCCUCUGGGCCAUAUAAUAAAUAAUGUCAGUGAUGUUGUCAUUGUUAUUGUUACUCAUAUUAGGCAUAGGAAAAACUGACUUUGGAAAAUGGCAGAGCGAGGAUUUCAACCCAAGUAGUCUGUCCCCAAUCUUAAGAGCCUGGGCUCUGGACUUCCCUGGUGGCGCAGUGGAUGAGAAUCUGCCUGCCAAUGCAGGGGACACAGGUUCAAGCCCUGGUCUGCAAAGAUCCCACAUGCCACGGAGAAACUAAGCCCAUGUGCCACAACUACUGAGCCUGUGCUCUAGAGCCCACGAGCCACAGCUACCGAGCCUGCAUGCCACAACUACUGAAGCCCGCGCACCUAGAGCCUGUGCUCUGCAACAAGAGAAGCCACCGCAAUGAGAAGCACGCGCACCUCAACGAAGAGUAGCUCCCAUUCACCGCAACUAGAGAAAGCCCGCGCAGAGCAACAAAGACCCAAUGCAGCCAAAAAUAAGUAAAAUUUUUUUUAAAAAAGAGUCUGAGCUCUUAACGAUUUUUCUUGAUUUCUUAAGUUGAGAAAAAAGAAAGAGCAAAAAUAGAUGAGAAGACAUACAGGAGGAAAUAUAGUAUGUUAAUGGGUUUGAGUGCAGAUACACAGAAGCAAGGUCAAUAAUUCACAGAUUCAAUUUUAGCUUUAUCUUUUUUUAAGCAUAAGAAAAAUAGGGGAGGUGUAAUUUCUUUAAUAGUUUUCUGUUUAAAGGAAGCAAAAGUUCAGUCCAGAGACCUGCCUUUCUCUCUUACCCACUACCAGAUGUUCAUAAAGACAUAUUAAGUAAGAUUUGAUUUUCUACCAAAGCCAAACUGGGAAUUGCAAAGACAGGAUGAAAGAAAAAAUAUUCUUUGAGACUGUUCUUUCUAUCAUAAUUUUUUAAUAUCUUGGGUAUAUACUUAUUUUCACACUGAGUUAUAUAUGUCCUUAAUAUAUUUAAUCAUUUGUUUUUCUUUUGUGCUUUUAUAAUUAAUUUUGGGGGGCUUUUAUAAUUAAUUUGAACAAUACAUAUCUCCAGGUUUCUGGUAAACAAAUAUAGCAAUAUAGCUGAAUUUUUUCUGAAAGCAAUAUAGUAUUCAUUGAUAAAGUUCCUAAGAAAAUGGAAGGAUAGGGAGUUCCCUAGUGGUCUAGUGGUUAGGAUAUGACACUUUCACUGCCAUGGCCUGGGUUCAAUCCCUGGUCAGGGAACUGAGAUCCCCCAAGCUGUGUGGUGUGGCCAAAAAAACAAAAACGAAAAAAAUAGAGGGAUAAAUAGGGUUUCAACAUAUUAGCUCAAAACAAAACAAACAAAACAGCAACCACAACAAAACGUCCUAAAUGUACCCUCUUCACACUUCUGACAUGUGUGACGCUGGUUUGUUUGCCAACAUUAACUUCUUUUUCACAAAUGUACUUAGUUUAGAAAAACCCUCCUAUUGAUGUCACCUCAGUAAGUUGUGUUUUUCAAAGAAUUUGCCCAUUUCAUAUAAAUUUUAAAUUAUGGACAUAAAGUUGUUCAUUAUAUCUUCUGAUUAUUAUUGGUUCAAAUGUAUAGAGUUAUGUAACCAUCACCACAAUCACAAUAUAGAACAUUUCCAUAACCCCCCUCCCCUCAAAUUUUCCUCGUGCUCCUUUGCAGCCAGUCCCUUCUCCCAGUCUCCCCAACCAUAGACAGUUGUUGAUCUGGACUCUGACACUAUCGUUUUGCCUGUUCUGGAAUUUCAUAUAAAUUGAAUCUUAAAAUUUGUAGUCUUUUGUGUCUGGAUUCUUUCACUUAGCAUAAAGCUUUUGAGAUUUAUCCAUGUUGAACGUGUGUAUAUCAAUAAUUUGUUCCUUUUUCUGAGUAAAAUUCCAUUGGAUGGCUCUACAGCAAUUUGUUUUUUCAUUUAUGAGUGACAGAAAUUUGGGUUAUUUCCGAUUUGGGGCUAUUAUGAAUAAAG
Mesoplodon densirostris (Blainville's beaked whale) is the source of this 4700-nucleotide long non-coding RNA. RefSeq lists it as uncharacterized. Lineage: Eukaryota; Metazoa; Chordata; Mammalia; Artiodactyla; Ziphiidae. The transcript has 3 exons. The record is from RefSeq and is a predicted model, not a curated record.